GAUGAACGCUGGCGGCGUGCCUAAUACAUGCAAGUCGAGCGAACAGAUGAGGAGCUUGCUCCUCUGACGUUAGCGGCGGACGGGUGAGUAACACGUGGAUCACCUACCUAUAAGACUGGGAUAACUUCGGGAAACCGGAGCUAAUACCGGAUAAUAUAUUGAACCGCAUGGUUCAAUAGUGAAAGACGGUUUUGCUGUCACUUCUAGAUGGAUCCGCGCCGCAUUAGCUAGUUGGUAAGGUAACGGCUUACCAAGGCAACGAUGCGUAGCCGACCUGAGAGAGUGAUCGGCCGCACGGGAGCUGAGACAGCGUCCAGACUCCUACGGGAGGCAGCAGUAGGGAAUCGUCCGCAAUAGGCGAGAGCAUGACGGAGCAACGGCGCGUGAGUGGUGAAGGUCUUCGGAGCGUAAAACUCUGUUAUGAGGGAAGAACAGAUGUGUAAGGAACUAUGCACGUCGUGACGGUACCGAAUCAGAAAGCAACGGCUAACUACGUG
RNAcentral lists this ribosomal RNA (497 nucleotides) under uncultured bacterium. Its description in RNAcentral is "partial 16S ribosomal RNA". It matches the Rfam family "Bacterial small subunit ribosomal RNA", at positions 28 to 507 of the family's 1533-position model. The record is from RNAcentral.